UACAGAGGCCCCGAGCAUUAUCCGGAAUCACUGGGCGUAAAGGGUGUGUAGGCGGUUGUGUUAGUCUUUUGUGAAAGAUCCCGGGCUUAACCCGGGAGACGCAGGGGAAACGGCACGACUUUUGAGGGUAUGAGAGGUAAAGGGAACUCAUGGUGUAGGGGUGAAAUCCGUUGAUAUCAUGGGGAACACCAAAUGCGAAGGCACUUUACUGGCAUACUCCUGACGCUGAAACACGAAAGCGUGGGCAUCGAAUGGG
RNAcentral lists this ribosomal RNA (256 nucleotides) under uncultured bacterium. RNAcentral describes it as "partial 16S ribosomal RNA". It matches the Rfam family "Bacterial small subunit ribosomal RNA", at positions 524 to 776 of the family's 1533-position model. The record is from RNAcentral.